Molecule: ribosomal RNA, 377 nt
Filed under: uncultured bacterium
Lineage: Bacteria
Description: bacterial SSU rRNA
Rfam family: Bacterial small subunit ribosomal RNA
Source: RNAcentral
ACUCCUACGGGAGGCAGCAGUGGGGAAUAUUGCACAAUGGGCGCAAGCCUGAUGCAGCCAUGCCGCGUGUGUGAAGAAGGCCUUCGGGUUGUAAAGCACUUUCAGUCGUGAGGAAGGUAGUGUAGUUAAUAGCUGCAUUAUUUGACGUUAGCGACAGAAGAAGCACCGGCUAACUCCGUGCCAGCAGCCGCGGUAAUACGGAGGGUGCGAGCGUUAAUCGGAAUUACUGGGCGUAAAGCGCAUGCAGGUGGUUUGUUAAGUCAGAUGUGAAAGCCCGGGGCUCAACCUCGGAAUAGCAUUUGAAACUGGCAGACUAGAGUACUGUAGAGGGGGGUAGAAUUUCAGGUGUAGCGGUGAAAUGCGUAGAGAUCUGAAGG